This 207-nucleotide ribosomal RNA is filed under the name uncultured bacterium. RNAcentral's name for it is "partial 16S ribosomal RNA". It matches the Rfam family "Bacterial small subunit ribosomal RNA", at positions 568 to 774 of the family's 1533-position model. The record is from RNAcentral.
CUCGUAGGCGGUUUGUCGCGUCCGGUGUGAAAGUCCAUCGCUUAACGGUGGAUCCGCGCCGGGUACGGGCGGGCUGGAGUGCGGUAGGGGAGACUGGAAUUCCCGGUGUAACGGUGGAAUGUGUAGAUAUCGAGAAGAACACCAAUGGCGAAGGCAGGUCUCUGGGCCGUUACUGACGCUGAGGAGCGAAAGCGUGGGGAGCGAACA